CGGCCAGACUCCUACGGGAGGCAGCAGUGGGGGAUAUUGCACAAUGGGGGGAACCCUGAUGCAGCGACGCCGCGUGGGUGAAGGAGUGCUUCGGCAUGUAAAGCCCUAUCGGCAGGGAAGAAGCAAGACGGUACCUGACUAAGAAGCCCCGGCUAACUACGUGCCAGCAGCCGCGGUAAUACGUAGGGGGCGAGCGUUAUCCGGAUUCACUGGGUGUAAAGGGAGCGUAGGCGGCCAUGCAAGCCAGGGGUGAAAUCCCGGGGCCCAACCCCGGGACUGCCCUUGGAACUGCAUGGCUGGAGUGCGGGAGGGGCAGGCGGAAUUCCUGGUGUAGCGGUGAAAUGCGUAGAUAUCAGGAGGAACACCGGCGGCGAAGGCGGCCUGCUGGACCGCGACUGACGUUGAGGCUCGAAAGCGUGGGGAGCAAACAGGAUUAGAUACCCUUGUAU
RNAcentral lists this ribosomal RNA (449 nucleotides) under uncultured bacterium. Its description in RNAcentral is "partial 16S ribosomal RNA". It matches the Rfam family "Bacterial small subunit ribosomal RNA", at positions 328 to 793 of the family's 1533-position model. The record is from RNAcentral.